This 119-nucleotide ribosomal RNA is filed under the name Pteropus alecto (black flying fox). The record is from RNAcentral. Lineage: Eukaryota; Metazoa; Chordata; Mammalia; Chiroptera; Pteropodidae.
GUCUAUGGCUAUGCUACCCUGAACACACCCAAUCUCAUCUGAUCUCAGAAGCUAAGUAGGGUUGGGCCUGUUUAGUACUUGGAUGGGAGACUACCUAGGAAUACCAAGAGCUAUAGGCA